RNAcentral lists this ribosomal RNA (1529 nucleotides) under Klebsiella pneumoniae. RNAcentral describes it as "bacterial SSU rRNA". It matches the Rfam family "Bacterial small subunit ribosomal RNA". The record is from RNAcentral. Lineage: Bacteria; Pseudomonadati; Pseudomonadota; Gammaproteobacteria; Enterobacterales; Enterobacteriaceae.
AAAUUGAAGAGUUUGAUCAUGGCUCAGAUUGAACGCUGGCGGCAGGCCUAACACAUGCAAGUCGAGCGGUAGCACAGAGAGCUUGCUCUCGGGUGACGAGCGGCGGACGGGUGAGUAAUGUCUGGGAAACUGCCUGAUGGAGGGGGAUAACUACUGGAAACGGUAGCUAAUACCGCAUAAUGUCGCAAGACCAAAGUGGGGGACCUUCGGGCCUCAUGCCAUCAGAUGUGCCCAGAUGGGAUUAGCUAGUAGGUGGGGUAACGGCUCACCUAGGCGACGAUCCCUAGCUGGUCUGAGAGGAUGACCAGCCACACUGGAACUGAGACACGGUCCAGACUCCUACGGGAGGCAGCAGUGGGGAAUAUUGCACAAUGGGCGCAAGCCUGAUGCAGCCAUGCCGCGUGUGUGAAGAAGGCCUUCGGGUUGUAAAGCACUUUCAGCGGGGAGGAAGGCGUUAAGGUUAAUAACCUUGGCGAUUGACGUUACCCGCAGAAGAAGCACCGGCUAACUCCGUGCCAGCAGCCGCGGUAAUACGGAGGGUGCAAGCGUUAAUCGGAAUUACUGGGCGUAAAGCGCACGCAGGCGGUCUGUCAAGUCGGAUGUGAAAUCCCCGGGCUCAACCUGGGAACUGCAUUCGAAACUGGCAGGCUAGAGUCUUGUAGAGGGGGGUAGAAUUCCAGGUGUAGCGGUGAAAUGCGUAGAGAUCUGGAGGAAUACCGGUGGCGAAGGCGGCCCCCUGGACAAAGACUGACGCUCAGGUGCGAAAGCGUGGGGAGCAAACAGGAUUAGAUACCCUGGUAGUCCACGCCGUAAACGAUGUCGAUUUGGAGGUUGUGCCCUUGAGGCGUGGCUUCCGGAGCUAACGCGUUAAAUCGACCGCCUGGGGAGUACGGCCGCAAGGUUAAAACUCAAAUGAAUUGACGGGGGCCCGCACAAGCGGUGGAGCAUGUGGUUUAAUUCGAUGCAACGCGAAGAACCUUACCUGGUCUUGACAUCCACAGAACUUUCCAGAGAUGGAUUGGUGCCUUCGGGAACUGUGAGACAGGUGCUGCAUGGCUGUCGUCAGCUCGUGUUGUGAAAUGUUGGGUUAAGUCCCGCAACGAGCGCAACCCUUAUCCUUUGUUGCCAGCGGUCCGGCCGGGAACUCAAAGGAGACUGCCAGUGAUAAACUGGAGGAAGGUGGGGAUGACGUCAAGUCAUCAUGGCCCUUACGACCAGGGCUACACACGUGCUACAAUGGCAUAUACAAAGAGAAGCGACCUCGCGAGAGCAAGCGGACCUCAUAAAGUAUGUCGUAGUCCGGAUUGGAGUCUGCAACUCGACUCCAUGAAGUCGGAAUCGCUAGUAAUCGUAGAUCAGAAUGCUACGGUGAAUACGUUCCCGGGCCUUGUACACACCGCCCGUCACACCAUGGGAGUGGGUUGCAAAAGAAGUAGGUAGCUUAACCUUCGGGAGGGCGCUUACCACUUUGUGAUUCAUGACUGGGGUGAAGUCGUAACAAGGUAACCGUAGGGGAACCUGCGGUUGGA